Molecule: ribosomal RNA, 253 nt
Filed under: uncultured bacterium
Lineage: Bacteria
Description: partial 16S ribosomal RNA
Rfam family: Bacterial small subunit ribosomal RNA
Source: RNAcentral
AACGUAGGUGGAGAGCGUUAUCCGGAUUUACUGGGCGUAAAGGGUGUGCAGGCGGGGGGACAAGUGGGGUUUGAAAGGUUUCGGCUCAACCGAGAUAGGUUAUGCCAGACUGUUUACCUAGAGUGUGAGAGAGGGACGUGGAAUUCCGGGUGUAGUGGUGAAAUGCGUAGAGAUCCGGAGGAACCCCAGUGGCGAAGGCGACUUCCUGGCCUGUUCUUGACGCUGAGGCGCGAAAGCUAGGGUAGCAAACGGG